AGAGUUUGAUCCUGGCUCAGGAUGAACGCUAGCGGCAGGCCUAAUACAUGCAAGUCGAACGGUGAUAGCAAUAUCAUAGUGGCGCACGGGUGCGUAACACGUAUGCAACCUACCUAUUAUUGGGGGAUAGCCUUUGGAAACGGAGAUUAAUACCGCAUAAUACGAUUGACUGGCAUCGGUUGAUUGUUAAAGCUUCGGCGAUAAUAGAUGGGCAUGCGUCCAAUUAGUUAGUUGGUUAGGUAACGGCUGACCAAGACGAUGAUUGGUAGGGGAUCUGAGAGGAUAAUCCCCCACACUGGCACUGAGAUACGGGCCAGACUCCUACGGGAAGCAGCAGUAGGGAAUAUUGGGCAAUGGGCGGAAGCCUGACCCAGCCAUGCCGCGUGCAGGAAGAAGGCGUUAUGCGUUGUAAACUGCUUUUUUAUAGGAAGAAGGAUCCCUUGCGAGGGAAGGUGACGGUACUAUAAGAAUAAGCACCGGCUAACUCCGUGCCAGCAGCCGCGGUAAUACGGAGGGUGCAAGCGUUGUCCGGAUUUAUUGGGUUUAAAGGGUGCGUAGGCGGUUUAUUAAGUCAGUGGUGAAAGACGGUCGCUCAACGAUUGCAGUGCCAUUGAUACUGGUAGAC
This 625-nucleotide ribosomal RNA is filed under the name uncultured bacterium. Its description in RNAcentral is "bacterial SSU rRNA". It matches the Rfam family "Bacterial small subunit ribosomal RNA", at positions 8 to 641 of the family's 1533-position model. The record is from RNAcentral.